GACGAACGCUGGCGGCGUGCUUAACACAUGCAAGUCGAACGGAAAGGCCCUGCUUUUGUGGGGUGCUCGAGUGGCGAACGGGUGAGUAACACGUGAGUAACCUGCCCUUGACUUUGGGAUAACUUCAGGAAACUGGGGCUAAUACCGGAUAGGAGCUCCUGCUGCAUGGUGGGGGUUGGAAAGUUUCGGCGGUUGGGGAUGGACUCGCGGCUUAUCAGCUUGUUGGUGGGGUAGUGGCUUACCAAGGCUUUGACGGGUAGCCGGCCUGAGAGGGUGACCGGCCACAUUGGGACUGAGAUACGGCCCAGACUCCUACGGGAGGCAGCAGUGGGGAAUAUUGCACAAUGGGCGGAAGCCUGAUGCAGCAACGCCGCGUGCGGGAUGACGGCCUUCGGGUUGUAAACCGCUUUCGCCUGUGACGAAGCGUGAGUGACGGUAAUGGGUAAAGAAGCACCGGCUAACUACGUGCCAGCAGCCGCGGUGAUACGUAGGGCGCGAGCGUUGUCCGGAUUUAUUGGGCGUAAAGGGCUCGUAGGUGGUUGAUCGCGUCGGAAGUGUAAUCUUGGGGCUUAACCCUGAGCGUGCUUUCGAUACGGGUUGACUUGAGGAAAGGUAGGGGAGAAUGGAAUUCCUGGUGGAGCGGUGGAAUGCGCAGAUAUCAGGAGGAACACCAGUGGCGAAGGCGGUUCUCUGGGCCUUUCCUGACGCUGAGGAGCGAAAGCGUGGGGAGCGAACAGGCUUAGAUACCCUGGUAGUCCACGCUGUAAACGGUGGGUACUAGGUGUGGGGUCCAUUCCACGGGUUCCGUGCCGUAGCUAACGCUUUAAGUACCCCGCCUGGGGAGUACGGCCGCAAGGCUAAAACUCAAAGGAAUUGACGGGGCCCCGCACAAGCGGCGGAGCAUGCGGAUUAAUUCGAUGCAACGCGUAGAACCUUACCUGGGUUUGACAUGGAUCGGGAGUGCUCAGAGAUGGGUGUGCCUCUUUUGGGGUCGGUUCACAGGUGGUGCAUGGCUGUCGUCAGCUCGUGUCGUGAGAUGUUGGGUUAAGUCCCGCAACGAGCGCAACCCUUGUUCACUGUUGCCAGCACGUUAUGGUGGGGACUCAGUGGAGACCGCCGGGGUCAACUCGGAGGAAGGUGGGGAUGACGUCAAGUCAUCAUGCCCCUUAUGUCCAGGGCUUCACGCAUGCUACAAUGGCUGGUACAGAGAGUGGCGAGCCUGUGAGGGUGAGCGAAUCUCGGAAAGCCGGUCUCAGUUCGGAUUGGGGUCUGCAACUCGACCUCAUGAAGUCGGAGUCGCUAGUAAUCGCAGAUCAGCAACGCUGCGGUGAAUACGUUCCCGGG
This 1344-nucleotide ribosomal RNA is filed under the name uncultured bacterium. Its description in RNAcentral is "16S ribosomal RNA". It matches the Rfam family "Bacterial small subunit ribosomal RNA", at positions 28 to 1378 of the family's 1533-position model. The record is from RNAcentral.